This 508-nucleotide ribosomal RNA is filed under the name uncultured bacterium. RNAcentral's name for it is "partial 16S ribosomal RNA". It matches the Rfam family "Bacterial small subunit ribosomal RNA", at positions 28 to 523 of the family's 1533-position model. The record is from RNAcentral.
GAUGAACGCUAGCUACAGGCUUAACACAUGCAAGUCGAGGGGAAACGAUAGAGAAAGCUUGCUUUUUCUAGGCGUCGACCGGAGCACGGGUGAGUAACGCGUAUCCAACCUGCCCAUCACUUGGGGAUAACCUUGCGAAAGUAAGAUUAAUACCCAAUGACGUCUCUAGAAGACAUCUGAAAGAGAUUAAAGAUUUAUCGGUGAUGGAAGGGAUUGCGUCUGAUUAGCUUGUUGGCGGGGUAACGGCCCACCAAGGGGAGGAUCAGUCGGGUUCCUGGGAGGAAGGUCCCCCGCAUUGGAACUGAGACACGGUCCAAACUACUACGGGAGGCAGCAGUGAGGAAUAUGGGUCAAUGGACGAGAGUCUGAACCAGCCAAGUAGCGUGCAGGAUGACGACCCUAUGGGUUGUAAACUGCUUUUAUAGGGGAAUAAAGUGAGUCUCGUGAGACUUUUUGCAUGUACCUUAUGAAUAAGGACCGGCUAAUUCCGUGCCAGCAGCCGCCGUAA